CCUACGGGAGGCAGCAGUGGGGAAUAUUGCACAAUGGGGGGAACCCUGAUGCAGCGACGCCGCGUGAAGGAAGAAGGCCUUCGGGUUGUAAACUUCUUUGACCAGGGACGAAUAAAUGACGGUACCUGGAGAACAAGCCACGGCUAACUACGUGCCAGCAGCCGCGGUAAUACGUAGGUGGCGAGCGUUGUCCGGAAUUACUGGGUGUAAAGGGCGUGUAGGCGGGUUCUUAAGUCAGAUGUGAAAUCCCGGGGCUCAACUCCGGAGCUGCAUCUGAAACUGGGGAUCUUGAGUGCUGGAGGGGAAAGUGGAAUUCCUAGUGUAGCGGUGAAAUGCGUAGAGAUUAGGAGGAACACCAGUGGCGAAGGCGGCUUUCUGGACAGCAACUGACGCUGAGGCGCGAAAGCGUGGGGAGCAAACAGGAUUAGAUACCCUUGUAGUC
RNAcentral lists this ribosomal RNA (442 nucleotides) under uncultured Clostridium sp. RNAcentral's name for it is "bacterial SSU rRNA". It matches the Rfam family "Bacterial small subunit ribosomal RNA", at positions 338 to 795 of the family's 1533-position model. Lineage: Bacteria; Bacillati; Bacillota; Clostridia; Eubacteriales; Clostridiaceae. The record is from RNAcentral.